RNAcentral lists this ribosomal RNA (402 nucleotides) under bacterium. RNAcentral's name for it is "partial 16S ribosomal RNA". It matches the Rfam family "Bacterial small subunit ribosomal RNA", at positions 355 to 776 of the family's 1533-position model. The record is from RNAcentral.
UGGGGAAUUUUGCACAAUGGGGGAAACCCUGAUGCAGCGACGCCGCGUGAUUUAGAAGGCCUUCGGGUUGUAAAAAUCUUUUUUACGGGAUGAAAAUGACAGUACCGUAAGAAUAAGGUCCGGCUAAAUACGUGCCAGCAGCCGCGGUAAUACGUAUGGACCGAGCGUUGUCCGGAAUCAUUGGGCGUAAAGGGUACGUAGGCGGCCUAGUAAGUUAGAAGUGAAAUAAUAUAGCUCAACUAUAUAAAGCUUUUAAAACUGCUAGGCUUGAGAGAUGGAAGGGAAAGAGGAAUUCCUAGUGUAGCGGUGAAAUGCGCAGAUAUUAGGAAGAAUACCGGUGGCGAAGGCGACUUUCUGGUCAUCAUCUGACGCUGAGGUACGAAAGCGUGGGUAGCAAACAGG